Theobroma cacao (cacao) is the source of this 241-nucleotide non-coding RNA. Lineage: Eukaryota; Viridiplantae; Streptophyta; Magnoliopsida; Malvales; Malvaceae. The record is from RefSeq and is a predicted model, not a curated record.
AGAAAGUGUUGGAAUUCAAGGAUUUGAUCAAGCAAAGGUGGUGAGCAAAUUACAUUGGUAAAAGCACAGAGAUUGUACUUGAAGACUAGGACUAUGAGUAUUUUUACUCCUGAUACUGUUGGAUAGUAUUAUCUUAGUCAUGUCAUGCUGUCAAAAUUUUGUUGUAUGGUGGAUUUAACCUGCUGCAAGGGGUGGGUUUUCUGUGGAUCAGCCUAUUAGAGGGGCACGAAAUCCCGAUAUA